GAUGAAGGCAAACUGCACCGAAAGGGCGGGACGCAAAGCCUCCGGUCUAGGAUCACUUGCGAGUGAUGACGAUAGCGGGGCUGCCA
RNAcentral lists this non-coding RNA (86 nucleotides) under zebrafish metagenome. RNAcentral's name for it is "Cyclic di-GMP-I riboswitch". It matches the Rfam family "c-di-GMP-I riboswitch aptamer", at positions 9 to 85 of the family's 87-position model. Rfam says of the family: GEMM was predicted in a large-scale screen for bacterial structured RNA regulatory elements. Genes associated with GEMM are involved in a diverse array of functions, including chemotaxis regulation, signal transduction, secretion and chitin. The record is from RNAcentral.